GGCGCGUUCGUCUAUGGGAAGGACACCGGGUUUUCACCCCGGGCGGCACGGGUUCGAAUCCCGUACGCGCUACCU
Molecule: transfer RNA, 75 nt
Filed under: Amycolatopsis sp. TNS106
Lineage: Bacteria; Bacillati; Actinomycetota; Actinomycetes; Pseudonocardiales; Pseudonocardiaceae
Description: tRNA-Glu
Rfam family: tRNA
About the family: Transfer RNA (tRNA) molecules are approximately 80 nucleotides in length. Their secondary structure includes four short double-helical elements and three loops (D, anti-codon, and T loops).
Source: RNAcentral